UUUCCGUAGGUGAACCUGCGGAAGGAUCAUUAUUGAAUAAACCUGAUGUGGCUGUUAGCUGGCUUUUCGAAGCAUGUGCUCGUCCGUCAUCUUUAUCUCUCCACCUGUGCACAUUUUGCAGUCUUGGAUACCUCUCGAGGCAACUCGGAUUUUAGGGUCGCUGUGCUGUACAAGUCGGCUUUCCUUUCAUUUCCAAGACUAUGUUUUUAUAUACACCAAAGUAUGUUUAAAGAAUGUCAUCAAUAGGAACUUGUUUCCUAUAUAAUUAUACAACUUUCAGCAACGGAUCUCUUGGCUCUC
RNAcentral lists this unclassified non-coding RNA (300 nucleotides) under plant metagenome. Its description in RNAcentral is "partial contains small subunit ribosomal RNA, internal transcribed spacer 1, and 5.8S ribosomal RNA". The record is from RNAcentral.